RNAcentral lists this ribosomal RNA (526 nucleotides) under Encyrtidae sp. RNAcentral describes it as "partial large subunit ribosomal RNA". The record is from RNAcentral. Lineage: Eukaryota; Metazoa; Arthropoda; Insecta; Hymenoptera; Encyrtidae.
AGAACUUUGAAGAGAGAGUUCAAGAGUACGUGAAACCGUUCAGGGGUAAACCUGAGAAACCCAAAAGAUCGAAUGGAGAGAUUCAGCGUUCAGCGGGCUGUCUGGCUUCCGUGCGGCGCGCGAUGUCGUGCGUACUCGUACGCGCGGUACGUCGUCGCUGCGGCAUGACCGGCCCCGUCGGCGUGCACUUCUCUCCUAGUAGGACGUCGCGACCCGUUGGGCGUCGGCCGCCAAGGCUCGAGAUGGGCAGACUGUCGCGCUCCUGGCGCGGCAGACCCUCGAUCGCCUGGCCGACUGCUCGGCGGUAGUUAUUAUUACAAUUACUUGACGGUAACGGGCCGCAUUUGAAUGCGUUCGGCUCGUCGGCAGGCACGCCUCGCUUGGAUUUACGGACCUAGCGCCGUUGCCGGGCGCUUGGCGGGCCCCUUUAGCCGGCGAAGAUCUCGAACCGGCUCUGUGCGCGCCACGCGCGCGCACGCACCUGUCGGCGACGCUUUUGCUUUGGGUACUUUCAGGACCCGUCUUG